AGUUUCGAUCAUGGCUCAGAUUGAAGUUGGCGGAUGUUUGCCACAUGCAAGUCGAACGGUAGCACGGACUUCGGUCUGGUGGCGAGCGGCGAACGGGUGAGUAAUGUAUCGGAACGUGCCUAGUAGCGGGGAUAACUACAGCGAAAGCGUAGCUAAUACCGCAUACCGCCUCGGGGAAAGCGGGGGGGGACCUUCGGGCCUCGCACUAUUAGAGUGGCCGAUAUCGAUUAGCUAGUUGGUGGGGUAACGGGCUCACCGAAGGCGACGAUCCGUAGCUGGUUUGAGAGGACGACCAGCCACACUGGGACUGAGACAUGGCCCAGACUCCUACGGGGAGGCAGCAGUGGGGAAUUUUGGACAAUGGGAAACCCCGAUCCAGCCAUCCCGGCGUGUGCGAUGCCGGAAGGCCUUCGGGUUGUAAAGCACUUUCUUGCGGAAAGAAACGGCACGGGAUAAUACCCCGUGCAACUGACGGUACCUGUAGACCAAGCACCGCCAACUACGUGCCGGCCAGCAGCCGCGGUAAUACGUAGGGUGCAAGCGUUAAUCGGAAUUACUGGGCGAAGCGUGCGCAGCAGGCGGUUCGGAAAGAAAGAUGUCCUGUGAGCUUAACUUUUGGAACUGCAUUUUUAACUACUGAGCUAGAGUGGUGUCGAGGGAGUAGGAAUUCGCGUGUAGCAGUGAAAUGCGUAGAUAUGGAGAGGAACACCGAUGGCGAAGGCAGCUCUCCUGACAACACUGACGCUCAUGGCACGAAAGCGUGGGGAGCAAACAGGAUUAGAUACCCUGGUAGUCCACGCCUCAAACGAUGUCAACCAGCUGUUGGGGCCUUCGGGCCUUUGGUAGCGCAGCUAACGCGUGAAGUUGACCGCCUGUGGAGCAUGGUCGCAAGAUUAAAACUCCAAAGGAAUUGACGGGGACCCCGCACAAGCGGUGGAUGAUGUGGAUUGACUGAUGCAACGCGAAAACUCACUUACCCUUGACAUGUCUGGAAUCCCGAAGAGACUUGGGGGAGUGCUCGCAAGAGAACCGGAACACAGGUGCUGCAUGGCUGUCGUCAGCUCGUGUCGUGAGAUGCUGGGUUAAGUCCCGCAACGAGCGCAACCCUUGUCAUUAGUUGCUACGAAAGGGCACUCUAAUGAGAGACUGCCGGUGACAAACCGGAGGAAGGUGGGGAUGACGUCAUUCCAUGGCCCUUAUGGGUAGGGCUUCACGUCAUACAAUGGUCGGGACAGAGGGUCGCCAACCCGCGAGGGGAGCCAAUCCCGAAACCCGAUCGUAGUCCGGAUCGCAGUCUGCAACUCGACUGCGUGAAGUCGGAAUCGCUAGUAAUCGCGGAUCAGCAUGUCGCGGUGAAUACGUUCCCGGGUCUUGUACACCGCCCGCUACACCAUGGGAGGUGGGCUUUACCGUGAUAGUUAGCCUAACCGUGCGAGGGCGAUUACUACUACGGUAGAUUCAUGAUCAAAGUAGUCGUAACAGGUAGCCCCA
RNAcentral lists this ribosomal RNA (1491 nucleotides) under uncultured Bordetella sp. RNAcentral's name for it is "partial 16S-23S ribosomal RNA intergenic spacer". It matches the Rfam family "Bacterial small subunit ribosomal RNA". The record is from RNAcentral. Lineage: Bacteria; Pseudomonadati; Pseudomonadota; Betaproteobacteria; Burkholderiales; Alcaligenaceae.